GGAGAGGUGCCGGAGCGGCUGAUCGGGCUGGUUUCGAAAACCAGUGUGCGGGCAACUGCACCGGGGGUUCGAAUCCCCCCCUCUCCG
Molecule: transfer RNA, 87 nt
Filed under: Phycisphaerae bacterium
Lineage: Bacteria; Pseudomonadati; Planctomycetota; Phycisphaerae
Also listed under: 2 other names
Description: tRNA-Ser
Rfam family: tRNA
About the family: Transfer RNA (tRNA) molecules are approximately 80 nucleotides in length. Their secondary structure includes four short double-helical elements and three loops (D, anti-codon, and T loops).
Source: RNAcentral